GAUGCCAGGGUCAAAAAGUCAAAAAAGCCGACGCAAGCUUGCUUGCAGAAGGCGUUUUGACUUCUUGACCCGCCAAGAUAGGAGCAUAAAAGUGGGAUGCUAAUCCCACGAUAUGCGACUAUCGAGCAGGAUUGUGGGAGUGCGCAGCACGGAACAAUCCUG
Molecule: small RNA, 162 nt
Filed under: uncultured Eisenbergiella sp.
Lineage: Bacteria; Bacillati; Bacillota; Clostridia; Lachnospirales; Lachnospiraceae
Description: Clostridiales-1 RNA
Rfam family: Clostridiales-1 RNA
Source: RNAcentral